This 468-nucleotide ribosomal RNA is filed under the name uncultured bacterium. Its description in RNAcentral is "partial 16S ribosomal RNA". It matches the Rfam family "Bacterial small subunit ribosomal RNA", at positions 28 to 507 of the family's 1533-position model. The record is from RNAcentral.
GACGAACGCUGGCGGCGUGCUUAACACAUGCAAGUCGAACGGAAAGGCCCUGCUUUUGUGGGGUGCUCGAGUGGCGAACGGGUGAGUAACACGUGAGUAACCUGCCCUUGACUUUGGGAUAACUUCAGGAAACUGGGGCUAAUACCGGAUAGGAGCUCCUGCUGCAUGGUGGGGGUUGGAAAGUUUCGGCGGUUGGGGAUGGACUCGCGGCUUAUCAGCUUGUUGGUGGGGUAGUGGCUUACCAAGGCUUUGACGGGUAGCCGGCCUGAGAGGGUGACCGGCCACAUUGGGACUGAGAUACGGCCCAGACUCGUACGGGAGGCAACAGUGGAGAAUAUUGCACAAUGAGCGGAAGCCUGAUGCAGCGACGCCGCGUGCGGGAUGACGGCCUUCGGGUUGUAAACCGCUUUCGCAUGUGACGAAGCGUGAGUGACGGUAAUGAGUAAAGAAGCACCGGCUAACUACGUG